CGGACGGGUGAGUAACGCGUGGGUAACCUGCCUUAUACAGGGGGAUAACAGUCAGAAACGGCUGCUAAUACCGCAUAAGCGCACAGCUUCGCAUGGAGCAGUGUGAAAAACUCCGGUGGUGUGAGAUGGACCCGCGUCUGAUUAGCUAGUUGGUAAGGUAACGGCUUACCAAGGCGACGAUCAGUAGCCGACCUGAGAGGGUGACCGGCCACAUUGGGACUGAGACACGGCCCAAACUCCUACGGGAGGCAGCAUG
Molecule: ribosomal RNA, 256 nt
Filed under: uncultured bacterium
Lineage: Bacteria
Description: partial 16S ribosomal RNA
Rfam family: Bacterial small subunit ribosomal RNA
Source: RNAcentral